AGUGAACGCUGGCGGUAGGCCUAACACAUGCAAGUCGAACGGCAGCACAGUAAGAGCUUGCUCUUACGGGUGGCGAGUGGCGGACGGGUGAGGAAUUCAUCGGAAUCUACUUUUUCGUGGGGGAUAACGUAGGGAAACUUACGCUAAUACCGCAUACGACCUACGGGUGAAAGCAGGGGAUCUUCGGACCUUGCGCGAUUGAAUGAGCCGAUGUCGGAUUAGCUAGUUGGCGGGGUAAAGGCCCACCAAGGCGACGAUCCGUAGGUGGUCUGAGAGGAUGAUCAGCCACACUGGAACUGAGACACGGUCCAGACUCCUACGGGAGGCAGCAGUGGGGAAUAUUGGACAAUGGGCGCAAGCCUGAUCCAGCCAUACCGCGUGGGUGAAGAAGGCCUUCGGGUUGUAAAGCCCUUUUGUUGGGAAAGAAAAGCAGCAGGUUAAUACCCCGCUGUUCUGACGGUACCCAAAGAAUAAGCACCGGCUAACUUCGUG
This 492-nucleotide ribosomal RNA is filed under the name uncultured bacterium. RNAcentral's name for it is "partial 16S ribosomal RNA". It matches the Rfam family "Bacterial small subunit ribosomal RNA", at positions 29 to 507 of the family's 1533-position model. The record is from RNAcentral.